GAUCAUGGCUCAGGAUGAACGCUAGCUACAGGCUUAACACAUGCAAGUCGAGGGGCAGCAUGGUCUUAGCUUGCUAAGGCCGAUGGCGACCAGCGCACGGGUGAGUAACACGUAUCCAACCUGCCGUCUACUAUUGGACAGCCUUCUGAAAGGAAGAUUAAUACAAGAUGGCAUCAUGAGUUCACAUGUUCACAUGAUUAAAGGUAUUCCGGUAGACGAUGGGG
This 224-nucleotide ribosomal RNA is filed under the name uncultured bacterium. RNAcentral describes it as "partial 16S ribosomal RNA". It matches the Rfam family "Bacterial small subunit ribosomal RNA", at positions 15 to 230 of the family's 1533-position model. The record is from RNAcentral.